GACGAACCGUGCAAACGUUGUUCGGAAUCACUGGGCUUAAAGGGCGCGUAGGCGGAUGCAUCAGUCAGGGGUGAAAUCCCACGGCUCAACCGUGGAAGUGCCUUUGAGACGGUGUGUCUAGAGGGAGGUAGGGGCGUGCGGAACUUCCGGUGGAGCGGUGAAAUGCGUAGAUAUCGAGAGGAACACCUGCGGCGAAGGCGGGUUGCUGGGCUGACACUGACGCUGAGGCGCGAAAGCUAGGGGAGCGAACGGG
RNAcentral lists this ribosomal RNA (253 nucleotides) under uncultured bacterium. Its description in RNAcentral is "partial 16S ribosomal RNA". It matches the Rfam family "Bacterial small subunit ribosomal RNA", at positions 524 to 776 of the family's 1533-position model. The record is from RNAcentral.